UACGUAGGGCGCAAGCGUUAUCCGGAAUUAUUGGGCGUAAAGGGCUCGUAGGCGGUUUGUCGCGUCGGGAGUGAAAUCCACUGGCUUAACUGGUGGCUUGCUUUCGAUACGGGCAGACUGGAGGUAUGCAGGGGAGAACGGAAUUCCUGGUGUAGCGGUGAAGUGCGCAGAUAUCAGGAGGAACACCGGUGGCGAAGGCGGGUCUCUGGGCCGUAACUGACGCUGAGGAGCGAAAGCGUGGGGAGCGAACAGG
This 253-nucleotide ribosomal RNA is filed under the name uncultured bacterium. Its description in RNAcentral is "partial 16S ribosomal RNA". It matches the Rfam family "Bacterial small subunit ribosomal RNA", at positions 524 to 776 of the family's 1533-position model. The record is from RNAcentral.